Molecule: ribosomal RNA, 253 nt
Filed under: uncultured bacterium
Lineage: Bacteria
Description: partial 16S ribosomal RNA
Rfam family: Bacterial small subunit ribosomal RNA
Source: RNAcentral
UACGUAGGGUGCGAGCGUUGUCCGGAAUUAUUGGGCGUAAAGGGCUCGUAGGCGGUUUGUCGCGUCGGGAGUGAAAACUCAGGGCUUAACCCUGGGCCUGCUUCCGAUACGGGCAGACUAGAGGUAUGCAGGGGAGAACGGAAUUCCUGGUGUAGCGGUGAAAUGCGCAGAUAUCAGGAGGAACACCGGUGGCGAAGGCGGGUCUCUGGGCAACAACUGACGCUGAGGAGCGAAAGCGUGGGGAGCGAACAGG